AUGAACGCUGGCGGCGUGCCUAAUACAUGCAAGUCGAGCGAACAGACGAGGAGCUUGCUCCUCUGACGUUAGCGGCGGACGGGUGAGUAACACGUGGAUAACCUACCUAUAAGACUGGAAUAACUUCGGGAAACCGGAGCUAAUACCGGAUAAUAUAUUGAACCGCAUGGUUCAAUAGUGAAAGACGGUUUUGCUGUCACUUAUAGAUGGAUCCGCGCCGCAUUAGCUAGUUGGUAAGGUAACGGCUUACCAAGGCGACGAUGCGUAGCCGACCUGAGAGGGUGAUCGGCCACACUGGAACUGAGACACGGUCCAGACUCCUACGGGAGGCAGCAGUAGGGAAUCUUCCGCAAUGGGCGAAAGCCUGACGGAGCAACGCCGCGUGAGUGAUGAAGGUCUUCGGAUCGUAAAACUCUGUUAUUAGGGAAGAACAAAUGUGUAAGUAACUAUGCACGUCUUGACGGUACCUAAUCAGAAAGCCACGGCUAACUACGUG
RNAcentral lists this ribosomal RNA (496 nucleotides) under uncultured bacterium. RNAcentral describes it as "partial 16S ribosomal RNA". It matches the Rfam family "Bacterial small subunit ribosomal RNA", at positions 29 to 507 of the family's 1533-position model. The record is from RNAcentral.